GAUGAACGCUGGCGGCGUGCCUAAUACAUGCAAGUCGAGCGAACGGACGAGAAGCUUGCUUCUCUGAUGUUAGCGGCGGACGGGUGAGUAACACGUGGAUAACCUACCUAUAAGACUGGGAUAACUUCGGGAAACCGGAGAUAAUACCGGAUAAUAUUUUGAACCGCAUGGUUCAAAAGUGAAAGACGGUCUUGCUGUCACUUAUAGAUGGAUCCGCGCUGGAUUAGCUAGUUGGUAAGGUAACGGCUUACCAAGGCAACGAUGCGUAGCCGACCUGAGAGGGUGAUCAGCCACACUGGAACUGAGACACGGUCCAGACUCCUACGGGAGGCAGCAGUAGGGAAUAUUGCGCAAUGGGCGAAAGCCUGACCGAGCCAUGCCGCGUGGGUGAAGAAGGUCUUCGGAUUGUAAAACUCUUUUAUUAGGGAAGAAAAGAAGUGGGAGAAAACGUGGACGUUUUGACGGUACCUAAUCAGAAAGCCACGGCUAACUACGUG
This 497-nucleotide ribosomal RNA is filed under the name uncultured bacterium. RNAcentral's name for it is "partial 16S ribosomal RNA". It matches the Rfam family "Bacterial small subunit ribosomal RNA", at positions 28 to 507 of the family's 1533-position model. The record is from RNAcentral.